AUACGAGACCUACAAUAUCGUACACCUAGAAUCAUUUUUGUUAUUAAUUCCCAACAAUAUUGUUUAAUCGAAAUUUCGUAAGAAAUCAAUAAUCCAAAAGGAAAGCGAACUGAAGCUCUCGCAGAUAUGCCCAUCCACAUUCGAGAAAAGAUUGAACGGUGUCUAAAUGUGCAUGUACCUGGUGGAAGUAACUGGCAGAGUUUCGCCGAGCAUUUUAAGAUCAGAAAAGACGUUAUCCGUUACUGGGAUAGCAGAAAUGAUGAAGUGCCAUCCUAUAAUGCAUCGGGACAAAUGUUUGCGAACCUGAAAGCCGAACAACCACAGCUGACGGUUGAUGAUCUGUGGAAAGUUUCCAAAAAUAAAAACCGUAAUGACGUUGUCAGGAUUAUUGACGAACAUUAUUAGAUAUAGGUAGAGAUAUAGGUUUCAUUGCAACGCUACUUCAAACAUAAAUAUUCAGAAAAAAAAUAGUUGCUUAUUUUGUAUCAGCAAGUAAUUCACUUUCAACUAAAUUUUGUAAAAAAAUCUUGCAAUUUUAGGGACGUUUUGAAACAUACGGGUUUCGGUCUGCUGCCACCUGGCCAUGCCCAGUCAAUUGCCACCUUUAGCAGGGCCGUCGGAACCGAACAGGCGGCCCGCGCUGACUUUGGCCGGACCACUUUUUAUGAUAUUAUUUUUUGAGUUAAUAUAUACGGAUACUUAUCAAGGUCAUCACCAUCAUUACCGUCAUUGUCAUCUCAUCAUCACCAUCUCAUCAUCAGAAUUAUUUCAUAUUUUUUCUGGGCAUCCAGGUAAACCAGGUUUCCACGGUAGCACUGGGCCCCUUUAAAACUAAGAACCUUUUCACAAAACAGUUGGAUCGUAUUAGGUAGGGCCUGUAUGUCUUUAUCACUUGGUAGAUUUGUCCAGUAGAGUAUACCUACAUGGUCUGUUUGUCAUAAAUAAACCAAGAAUUAACCACAAUUAAAUUUUACUCGGUGUAAGGCCUAGCAGAAGCGAACAAAAAAAAUAUAUAUUACCUAUUUAAUAAAUAAUUUUAACAAUUAAAA
Long non-coding RNA from Anneissia japonica, 1049 nucleotides. RefSeq lists it as uncharacterized. The record is from RefSeq and is a predicted model, not a curated record. Lineage: Eukaryota; Metazoa; Echinodermata; Crinoidea; Comatulida; Comatulidae. The transcript has 2 exons.